UUUUUUUUUUUUUUUUUUAAACCUUGACAAAUACAGCCAAUAUUAACCAUGGUACUGAGAUCCUAUUUUCCAAGCUCUUCACCUAGGGCUUCAAACUUUGUACAUUCCUGUCUUGUAAACUACCACGUGACAGUUUUACCAGAGGAUUGGCAUCCUUCCAGCCACUUUCCUGUCUGAGUGACACUGCCAUCCCUCCCAGCUACCCAAAGCUGGAAACUUGUAUUUUUAGUCUUGAUUCCUUUUCUCCUUUAUCUUCUACAACCAAUCUGUAGAUCCUGCCGGUAGAUUCCAUCAAUUCUCUUGUCAGUAUUAGAUUGUUUUGUUUUGUUUUUGGCUGUGCCCACAGCAUGCAGAAGUUCCCCAGCCAUAGCAGUGACACCAGAUCUUUAACCCACUGAGCCACAGGGAACUCCUAGAUUUUUUUUAAAAAGUUUUAGUUAUACACAAAACUUUUACUGUAACUCAGACACUCUUAUAAGUGCAGUCCUCCUAACAAACCUGUGAGGUUGUAGACAUUUCACAAAUGAGGAAACUAAGGCAUGGAGAAGUUAAGUAACGCCCCAGGCACAAAACUAUUAAAUGGCAGGAUUGGGAUUCAGAGUCCCAGUCCAUGUACUUAGCCACUCAAUAUACUCUGACCCGAGGCUGUCCCUGCAUAUUUGACUUGGCCCGCCUUGAUGACUACCUGUUUUCCCCAAAUAGUCUCAUAAGUCCAUCAACAGCCAGUCCAAUAUUUCUGAACACUCUUCACCCUCCGUUGGGGGAAUAGCAGUUGCUGACAUUCUUCUAAAUUGUCCUACUCCCCUGAGGCAGCUCCUGCUUCUGCUCUGUGUACCGGGGCUCUGGCCUCCUCCCGAAUCACAUUCCCACAGCUGUCACUCCUACCCCUGACAAAAACCUGGGUGGCUCACACUUAAGUCAAAGAUUUAGGAUAGCACAAUGAGCAAAUAUAACCAUUUGUUGUUGACUGAAAUGGUUCACAGAAAACUAUCUGCCUAUUAUCCCAACAAGGAAUUUCUUAGGGGCCUCCCCAACAUUGUUCUUCCUCUUUCUUGGGUUUUCCAAACUAAAACAAUGUUUUUCACUGCUGACAAAAAAAUUAAUCAGUUGAUCUAAAAAAGAAGCAGAAUAUUUUAUUUGAGCCAAAUUGAGGAUUAUAAUCCAGGAACCACAUCUCAGAAAGCUCUGAGAACUGUUCCAUUAGAGGUCAAAGCACAGUUAUGUUUUUGAGACAGAAGCACUGUACAUUAAAUGACGUUAUUGUCAACAAUUCAGGUUCCCAUUGUGGCGUAGCGGAAACAAAUCUGACUAGGAACCAUGAGAUUUCGGGUUUGAUCUCUGGCCUUGCUCAGUGUGUUAAGGAUCCGGCGUUGCCGUGAGCUGUGGUGUAGGUCGCAGACACGGCUGGAUCCAGCGUUGCUGUGGCUCUGGCGUAGGCCGGUGGCUACAGCUCCAAUUAGACCCCUAGCCUGGGAACCUCCUUAUGCCGUGGGAGCGGCCCUUUGGCAAAAAGACAAAAAAAAAA
Molecule: long non-coding RNA, 1525 nt
Filed under: Sus scrofa (pig)
Lineage: Eukaryota; Metazoa; Chordata; Mammalia; Artiodactyla; Suidae
Description: lncRNA (ENSSSCG00030018532.1)
Source: RNAcentral